This is a long non-coding RNA of Hemibagrus wyckioides, 360 nucleotides long. RefSeq lists it as uncharacterized. NCBI's taxonomy places the organism in Eukaryota, Metazoa, Chordata, Actinopteri, Siluriformes, Bagridae. The transcript has 4 exons. The record is from RefSeq and is a predicted model, not a curated record.
GUUGGCUUACGAGGCCCUGAUUCGAUUCCUGAGGACGCCUUCCAAUCAGGAAUCGAUUAAAGCAGAGCUCAGCUCCUGUGACCACCACUACAACUUCCUGGAUGUUUUUUUGAGCUGAUUUUCUUCAGCUACUUUAUAAAUGGCUCAAAACCUCCGCCAUUUAAGGGAGGUUUCUUGGAGCGCCUGCUUGCGCUCUUCAGCAUGUGGGACGUGGACGUGUGGGAGCCUGCAGCAGAGCUGUACUUCACAGUGCUUAUUGAUUACCUUACAGAGCUUGCUGAAGUACUCUUCACUCAGCCUCUGGAGCUCUACAGUGACCCAGCAGCCUUAGCCACCACAGUUCAGCGACUCCUCAAGCUG